GUACAAAACAAACAGAGGAAUUAGUAUAACGCUCGGGAAAGGUGAGAAAGUCUUUUACGUUUCGAGCCUCCGCUUUUCGGCAGAAAGGAACACUGGAAUAAACAUGGAGAGAAAUUAAAGAAAAGUUCCGUGGUUAGCGAUUUAUCAUGGCGA
This is a long non-coding RNA of Octopus sinensis (East Asian common octopus), 153 nucleotides long. RefSeq lists it as uncharacterized. NCBI's taxonomy places the organism in Eukaryota, Metazoa, Mollusca, Cephalopoda, Octopoda, Octopodidae. The record is from RefSeq and is a predicted model, not a curated record. The transcript is spliced from 2 exons.